UCGAGGAUCUUCGGCAAUGGGCGCAAGCCUGACCGAGCGACGCCGCGUGUGCGAUGAAGGCCUUCGGGUUGUAAAGCACUGUCGAGGGGGAUAAAGCCCGCAAGGGUUGAUUGAUCCCUGGAGGAAGCACGGGCUAAGUUCGUGCCAGCAGCCGCGGUAAGACGAACCGUGCGAACGUUGUUCGGAAUCACUGGGCUUAAAGGGCGCGUAGGCGGCAUGGCAAGUCCGGGGUGAAAGCCCCCAGCUCAACUGGGGAAGUGCCUUGGAAACUGCGGUGCUGGAGGGAGGUAGGGGUCGAGGGAACUUCUGGUGGAGCGGUGAAAUGCGUUGAUAUCAGAAGGAACGCCGGUGGCGAAAGCGCUCGACUGGACCUUUUCUGACGCUGAGGCGCGAAAGCUAGGGGAGCAAACGGGAUUAGAUACCCCCGUAGUCC
Molecule: ribosomal RNA, 433 nt
Filed under: uncultured bacterium
Lineage: Bacteria
Description: bacterial SSU rRNA
Rfam family: Bacterial small subunit ribosomal RNA
Source: RNAcentral